CAACAGAGACACCAACAACACCAACUACAGAGACACCAACAACACCAACUACAGAGACACCAACAACACCAACAACCGAAGAGGUCACAACUCCAGAAACUACAAUAGAUAAUAAUUCUCUUCAAAUAAUCAUUAAUGGCUCUUUGAUCUCAAUUUUUGAUUUUACGAGCUGUGAGACACCCAAUAUCAUUGUAUCUUUGACAAUUGCUGGCGUCUUAACCGAAGUUCAAGGCUGUCUUUAAAACUGGAACACUUAAAGGGAUCAGAAGUAUCAAAUUAUUUAAAACUGCAAUAAUAGCGACAUUUUAUAUCAAACUAUUUAAAUAUUCUAGUAUCAACAAAAUAAAAGUGUAUUAAUAAAUAUAUUUUUAUAAGUUAUCAACAAGUUCAGCUCUGCACUAUAACAAAAAUUUUGUAUAAUGUAAUUUCAAUAAAGUUGUGUUGUGAUUGAUUGAUCAUAAUAAUCAAUUAUUUGGCUUAUCAUUUUUGAAAACCCAUAA
This is a long non-coding RNA of Drosophila innubila, 500 nucleotides long. RefSeq lists it as uncharacterized. NCBI's taxonomy places the organism in Eukaryota, Metazoa, Arthropoda, Insecta, Diptera, Drosophilidae. The record is from RefSeq and is a predicted model, not a curated record. The transcript is spliced from 2 exons.